GCUUCGUUUCCACGUUAGUAGCAAUUGUUUUCACAGAUAAGCAUUGGUGUGUGAUGCAAUUGCUAUCGCGUAGAUAACUUUCUAUCCUCACUUUUUGUCAGAAUUAUAAUUUCAAUCCUUUCACUAGUUCUCGUGAUUUUGAAAAUGACAAGCACAAAUGAACGCCGCCAGCUUGAAAUGGAAUUAACCGACCUCAUAGAUGCUGAAAAUUUAAGGGGGAAGGAUGCAGCAUUAGCUUACAACAACAGGGGCCAUAUAAGAUAUUUGCAAGUGAACUUUGAUGGAGCAAUAGAAGAUUAUGAUAAAGCAAUAGCAAUCGAUCCUGACCUAGCAGUUGCAUAUUACAACAGAGGAACCGUUUUUUACAGACUAGGCAGGUGGCACUAAUUUGAUGUGGACUUCGAGAAAAGUACAUUCAUACAGCUAUAGUAAGAAAACAAGUGAUGAUUCCAAAGUUGUGGGUAUAGCUGUAUCCUAAAUUGACAGACAGUAGUAAUAUUUUCAGAAAAAGAUGUGUAUGUUACAGAAGUUGACACAGGAUCUGGAGUUUGGAAAGAAAGUUUGAGGAUGCACUGACAGACAUGGAACAGGCUGUAAGACUGGAAGCAAAAAAUGGAGAAUUUGCAGAAGGACUAACUGCUUGUCUUACAAAGAAAAAUCAAGUAAUUGCAAAAUAAUAUUCUUUUGUAUUAAAAUUCAAUCUGCUUGACAAUCCAUGUAAUAAUUUGCAAUACAAAUAAAUUUGUAACUGAAA
This is an RNA transcript of Schistocerca serialis cubense, 754 nucleotides long. It is a transcript of the gene named tetratricopeptide repeat protein 32-like, with no coding region annotated. Lineage: Eukaryota; Metazoa; Arthropoda; Insecta; Orthoptera; Acrididae. The transcript is spliced from 4 exons. The record is from RefSeq and is a predicted model, not a curated record.